This is a long non-coding RNA of Macrobrachium nipponense, 264 nucleotides long. RefSeq lists it as uncharacterized. The transcript is spliced from 3 exons. NCBI's taxonomy places the organism in Eukaryota, Metazoa, Arthropoda, Malacostraca, Decapoda, Palaemonidae. The record is from RefSeq and is a predicted model, not a curated record.
AUAAAGCACACUGAAGUUAGGUUUGGAAUGCAUCCUUAUCAUGAAUGCUCUACACCUCCACCUCCCAUCUCCCACAACCUAGGUAACAGCUUUGAGACUCACUAAAAGUUGAACCCCCUGAAUGAUGUAGGCUAUGGGGCCACAUAAGACUUUGUCCAUCCAGGGUUACAUUGAACGACAACUUUAAACUAAAAAACCAACAUUUUUCACACAACUCCAGGUUGUUACUACAAGUGUCAUCAAGGGAUAACUACAAGUAGAAGC